This 333-nucleotide long non-coding RNA is filed under the name Sorghum bicolor (sorghum). Its description in RNAcentral is "long non-coding RNA (SBIC_LNC000574)". Lineage: Eukaryota; Viridiplantae; Streptophyta; Magnoliopsida; Poales; Poaceae. The record is from RNAcentral.
UGAAAAAACAGGCCCACCACUAUAAACUACCAACUACCAGAUCGAUGGAUCCAUCCUACCCGCUACAAACAUCGCGAGGGCGCUAUUGUCCGUGGCCCGUCUCCUGUUGCCGUCGCGCCGUCGUUGCUGCAGUACGCCGCACGGCGUCAUCGCCUGUGACCAUCUCCACGAUCUCCUCCUCCGCACGAUCAGUAGCUCGAGUCCUCCCUCUCCUUCACGGUGCAGCAGGUGCACAUCUCCUUCCUCUCCAAUCUUCAUUAAAUUGAUCUAGGUUGUUUAUAUUUCUCAAAACUUGUCCAUUAGAAAUCAUGCCUAGGAAGAUGUCUCUUGCCC